CCUACGGGAGGCAGCAGUAGGGAAUUUUCGUCAAUGGGCGCAAGCCUGAACGAGCAAUGCCGCGUGAACGAGGAAGGUCUUCGGAUCGUAAAGUUCUGUUGAAGGGGAAAAAGAGCGGAGAGAUGACAUGGUCUCCGAUUGCUAUUACCCUUCGAGGAAGUCACGGCUAACUACGUGCCAGCAGCCGCGGUAAUACGUAGGUGGCGAGCGUUAUCCGGAAUGAUUGGGCGUAAAGGGUGCGUAGGCGGCCUGCGAAGCCUGGAGUGAAAGGUUGCGGCUCAACUGGUACAGGGUUUGGAAACUGGCGGGCUAGGUGGCAAGGGAGGGCGGUGGAACUCCAUGUGUAGCGGUAAAAUGCGUAGAUAUAUGGAAGGACACCAGUGGCGAAGGCGGCCGCCUGGCCUGUUGACUGACGCUGAGGCACGAAAGCGUGGGGAGCAAAUAGGAUUAGAUACCCUUGUAGUC
Molecule: ribosomal RNA, 465 nt
Filed under: uncultured bacterium
Lineage: Bacteria
Description: partial 16S ribosomal RNA
Rfam family: Bacterial small subunit ribosomal RNA
Source: RNAcentral